RNAcentral lists this long non-coding RNA (1223 nucleotides) under Anser brachyrhynchus (Pink-footed goose). RNAcentral's name for it is "lncRNA (ENSABRG00000009264.1)". The record is from RNAcentral. Lineage: Eukaryota; Metazoa; Chordata; Aves; Anseriformes; Anatidae.
CUGGAAGUUCGUGACCCCGCCGUAAGCCCACAAAAUCCCGCUCAUGUGUUGCUCGUUAUUUGUGCUUGACUGGGAUCCGCUGAGCUGUAAUCAAAGCGUUUCCUCUUCCCAGAGCCCCCGUGCUCGGAGAGGUUCGUUCACGCUGCUUGCAAGCAGCAAGGUGCUUUUGCUGCCACUGGUCGCUGACAGCUUCGUUUUGUGGGUCUGGGGAAGGCGCGGGACGGCUGCGGGUACUCGAGGAAGCCCCCGGUCACCUCUGGACACCGCCAUGGUCACCGCGAGAGGAUGGCUGCCGCUGCUGCUGCUCCUCCUGGGAGCCACGGCCGGUUUAGGUCAAAGGCUUCUGAGGCAAAACCUCGGCAGGAUCCAGAUAGGACAGAAAACCUUCAGCCCGCUGGUGAUGCUCAGCUUAGAGAGUACGAGGAGCAGCUCUCACCGGGGAGCCCCGACCUUCGCCUACGCCAGACGCAGUACGUCCCUGCCUGCCCCGUCCCUCCCCGCACGCACCCUUGGCUUCUCCCCAUCCUCCACUUCCUGCUUUUUCUGCUGUCAAGGUGCUACCCUGAGCUUUAAAAUGCUAUUUUGCCCCACGGGACUCCCCUCCUCCUUUCCUACCAUCACCAGCCCCACAGAUUGAAGCAGCUGAUCCCAAAUGAGCUAAGCAGGGCUGUGAAGGAUCUUACAGAAACCCCACUUCAAUCUGCUGCACACGAAACCUUGGGGCAAACACGUUUUUCAGUGUGCCUCCUGGAACAAGGCUGUCUCCGAGCUCACCUCCCCCUGCAUCCCCUCUAAAUCACCCCAAAAUUGUUAACUAAUGCCUGUCAGUGUGCCACUCGGGAUGCUGAACGGGGAUGUCAGCGUGCCAACAGAUUAAAAACUCGCCCCGCUAAGCCAAGCUCUCACUCCACAACAGACCUUACUCUUCCGUGGCUGCUGCCAUUGAAAUGCUUUUUUCCAGCCACCAGAACCCAUUUAAACACCUGCUUUUGGAAGCCAGUUUCAUUUUUGAACAGUUCAGCCUCUGUCUUUCUAGCAAGUAACCUAACCUGGUUUCCAACAAAGCUGGCGGAAGAGUAGGUGUGGGAGAUGACGUGGUACCCGCACGCGUUUCCAAGAGACCUCAUUUUUAGAAACUUUAGUCAGAAGUGUAUCCUCGUAAACAUUAUUAGAACAUUGACAUUUAAAAAUAAACCCAAACCACACGCUUGGAGUGGAUCUCA